Molecule: ribosomal RNA, 499 nt
Filed under: uncultured bacterium
Lineage: Bacteria
Description: bacterial SSU rRNA
Rfam family: Bacterial small subunit ribosomal RNA
Source: RNAcentral
GACGAACGCUGGCGGCGUGCCUAACACAUGCAAGUCGAACGGAGUAAAGAGCUUCGGUUUUCUACUUAGUGGCGAACGGGUGAGUAACGCGUGAGGAACCUGCCUUCCAGUGGGGGACAACAGUUGGAAACGACUGCUAAUACCGCAUGAUACUAUUGAGUGGCAUCACUUGAUAGUCAAAGAUUUAUCGCUGAGAGAUGGGCUCGCGUCCAAUUAGCUAGAUGGUGAGGUAACGGCUCACCAUGGCGACGAUUGGUAGCCGGACUGAGAGGUUGAACGGCCACAUUGGGACUGAGACACGGCCCAGACUCCUACGGGAGGCAGCAGUGGGGAAUCUUCCGCAAUGGACGAAAGUCUGACGGAGCAAUGCCGCGUGAGUGAUGAAGGUUUUCGGACCGUAAAGCUCUUUUGUUAAGGAAGAACUGUACGAUUAGGAAAUGAGUCGUAUUUGACGGUACUUAACUAGAAAGCCCCGGCUAACUAUGUGCCAGCAGCCGAC